AGCGAACGCUGGCGGCAGGCUUAACACAUGCAAGUCGAACGGGCAUCUUCGGAUGUCAGUGGCAGACGGGUGAGUAACACGUGGGAACGUACCCUUCGGUUCGGAAUAACUCAGGGAAACUUGAGCUAAUACCGGAUACGCCCUUUUGGGGAAAGGUUUACUGCCGAAGGAUCGGCCCGCGUCUGAUUAGCUUGUUGGUGGGGUAACGGCCUACCAAGGCGACGAUCAGUAGCUGGUCUGAGAGGAUGAUCAGCCACACUGGGACUGAGACACGGCCCAGACUCCUACGGGAGGCAGCAGUGGUGAAUAUUGGACAAGGGGCGCAAGCCUGAUCCAGCCAUGCCGCGUGAGUGAUGAAGGCCUUAGGGUUGUAAAGCUCUUUUGUCCGGGACGAUAAUGACGGUACCGGAAGAAUAAGCCCCGGCUAACUUCGUG
This 435-nucleotide ribosomal RNA is filed under the name uncultured bacterium. Its description in RNAcentral is "partial 16S ribosomal RNA". It matches the Rfam family "Bacterial small subunit ribosomal RNA", at positions 29 to 507 of the family's 1533-position model. The record is from RNAcentral.